GUUGCAAAGAACUUUGAAGAGAGAGUUCAAGAGUACGUGAAACUGCUGAGAGGCAAACUGGUGGGCCCUCGAAAUCCCGUUUGCGGGGAGAUUCAGUCGGGUGUCGGCGGCCGUCUCUAAAAUGGGUCUGUCGCAACCGAAGAUCGGGGCACAUUCCGAGGGACGAGUUCCGCUGGAACCCGACGCAUUUCCCGCCCGCACGAAAGGAACGCCGCAGCCGGUCGGGUAGCUGCGCGUGUCGGCCAUGAGGACGUUGCAACGGCAGGUGACCGGCGGCCCUAGGCUUCUCCGGAGGCACUAACGGUCGACGGUUGAUUAGCCGGCUCGUCCGUGGCGCGACACCCGACCGAGGUAAAGAGAGAGACAGAGAYGGGGAUACGUCUCCACGGAGACGUCCCCGUCUGCAAUCCACUACUUUCAAACGAGAGAGCGAGCCGUCGGACAGGCGCGUUCCUGCGUGGUCGGACAGUCACCGCACUGGUCGAUCUGGUGGGAGCGCGUCGAUCGUACCGAGUCAGGAUCUCGCGGAGGAUGAAGGCUGGCGGCGAGUAGGUCGGUAACCCACCCGACCCGUCUUGAAACACGGACCAAGGAGUCUAACAUGUGCGCAAGUCGCGGGGUCUUGUUCAGGCCCAAAGGCGAAAUGAAAGUGAAGGCCGCCGCUUCCCCUUAUUCAGUUAGGGGCGGAGUGAGGCGGCCAGGUCGGGACUCGCACGUGACACGGGACGUGACGAAGCACCGACGACCCGCCCUGUUCUAUCUUCUCGAUAGGAACUCAAACGGAGUUUGAGCGCACACGUUGGGACCCGAAAGAUGGUGAACUAUGCCUGGGCAGGACGAAGCCAGAGGAAACUCUGGUGGAGGUCCGCAGCGGUUCUGACGU
Molecule: ribosomal RNA, 883 nt
Filed under: Atypoides riversi
Lineage: Eukaryota; Metazoa; Arthropoda; Arachnida; Araneae; Antrodiaetidae
Description: partial 28S ribosomal RNA
Rfam family: Eukaryotic large subunit ribosomal RNA
Source: RNAcentral